CUUAUUUCUCGGCUUUUUGGCUAAGAUCAAGUGUAGUAUCUGUUCUUAUCAGUUUAAUAUUCCUGUUCUUUCAAAUUCAAAUACCCAAGGAAAAAAAUGACUUGAAGCUUUACAAUUUCUCAACUGCAAAUUUCUGAGAGAGAAAUUUUACUGGCUCAGUUUAACAUUUUGUGCUGGAUUAUAAA
Molecule: small nuclear RNA, 185 nt
Organism: Nannospalax galili (Upper Galilee mountains blind mole rat)
Lineage: Eukaryota; Metazoa; Chordata; Mammalia; Rodentia; Spalacidae
Product: U2 spliceosomal RNA
Exons: 1
Source: RefSeq, a predicted model, not a curated record